RNAcentral lists this transfer RNA (72 nucleotides) under Camelus bactrianus (Bactrian camel). It matches the Rfam family "tRNA". From Rfam's summary of the family: Transfer RNA (tRNA) molecules are approximately 80 nucleotides in length. Their secondary structure includes four short double-helical elements and three loops (D, anti-codon, and T loops). The record is from Rfam by way of RNAcentral. RNAcentral also lists the same sequence under 2 other names. Lineage: Eukaryota; Metazoa; Chordata; Mammalia; Artiodactyla; Camelidae.
GAGGGUAUAGCUCAGUGGAAGAGUGCUGGCUUAGCAUGCACAAGGUCCUGGGUUCAAUCCCCAGGACCUCCA